UAUACACUCAACAGGCAAAGAGCAAGAAGAGAUUUGAGCUCCACCUAAGCUGGUUUCUUCCAGUUUCUUGAUAUUUAUUAUAUUCUGGCUCUGCAUUUGAACGGUUGAUGGAAAGGCUUCCUUCCAUUCGGGGCCAUCUGUGAAAAUCUUAAGCUAUGGAUUGGGAGUGUUUGCAGAUAACAGAGAAGCACACUGCAAGAACAUGGAAGACUACAAUUUCCAGUAUCCUUGCAGCUAGAUGGGGCCAUAUUUCUAGUUAAACCCAACAGAAUGUGAAAGGAAAUGACGUUCACCACUUCUCCCUUUGCCCCCAGAAUGUUCUGUGUGAUGAUUUAUGUUCUGCUACACACUCAUCUGCUGUACAGAUGCAGAGAUUUGGCAGAACACCUAGGGGAUGGCAGGAGUCAUUACACAGAAGGAGCAUGGAUCUCUCAGUUACUAUGUAGGGUUGCCCAAGCAAGCUGAGAAACAUCUGAACGGGACUUCAUGA
Microcebus murinus (gray mouse lemur) is the source of this 490-nucleotide non-coding RNA. Lineage: Eukaryota; Metazoa; Chordata; Mammalia; Primates; Cheirogaleidae. The record is from RefSeq and is a predicted model, not a curated record.